Molecule: ribosomal RNA, 669 nt
Filed under: uncultured Bacilli bacterium
Lineage: Bacteria; Bacillati; Bacillota; Bacilli
Description: bacterial SSU rRNA
Rfam family: Bacterial small subunit ribosomal RNA
Source: RNAcentral
UGGUGCUUGCACUAGAAAAACUUAGCGGCGAACGGGUGAGUAACACGUAAAGAACCUGCCUCAUAGACGGGGACAACUAUUGGAAACGAUAGCUAAUACCGGAUAACAGCAUAAAUCGCAUGAUAUAUGUUUAAAAGUUGGUUUCGGCUAACACUAUGAGAUGGCUUUGCGGUGCAUUAGCUAGUUGGUGGGGUAAAGGCCUACCAAGGCGACGAUGCAUAGCCGACCUGAGAGGGUGAUCGGCCACACUGGGACUGAGACACGGCCCAGACUCCUACGGGAGGCAGCAGUAGGGAAUCUUCCGCAAUGGGCGAAAGCCUGACGGAGCAACGCCGCGUGAGUGAAGAAGGAUUUCGGUUCGUAAAGCUCUGUUGUUAGGGAAGAAUGAUUGUAUAGUAACUAUAUACAGUAGAGACGGUACCUAACCAGAAAGCCACGGCUAACUACGUGCCAGCAGCCGCGGUAAUACGUAGGUGGCAAGCGUUGUCCGGAAUUAUUGGGCGUAAAGCGCGCGCAGGUGGUUUAAUAAGUCUGAUGUGAAAGCCCACGGCUCAACCGUGGAGGGUCAUUGGAAACUGUUAAACUUGAGUGCAGGAGAGAAAAGUGGAAUUCCUAGUGUAGCGGUGAAAUGCGUAGAGAUUAGGAGGAACACCAGUGGCGAAGGCGGCU